Molecule: ribosomal RNA, 800 nt
Filed under: uncultured bacterium
Lineage: Bacteria
Description: bacterial SSU rRNA
Rfam family: Bacterial small subunit ribosomal RNA
Source: RNAcentral
GGGGCGGUGCGCGUGCUUACACAUGCAGUCGAACGAAGCAGCGGCGCGGAACCCCUCCGGGGAGGAAGCGCUGCCCUUUGAGUGGCGGACGGGUGAGUAACGCGUGGGUAACCCCCCCCAUACAGGGGGAUAACAGCUGGAAACGGCUGCUAAUACCGCAUAAUCCUGCGGGGCCGCAUGGCCCUGCAUGCAAAGCUUUGGCGGUAUGGGAUGGGCCCGCGUCUGAUUAGGCAGUUGGCGGGGUAACGGCCCACCAAACCGACGAUCAGUAGCCGGCCUGAGAGGGCGACCGGCCACAUUGGGACUGAGACACGGCCCAAACUCCUACGGGAGGCAGCAGUGGGGAAUAUUGCACAAUGGGGGGAACCCUGAUGCAGCGACGCCGCGUGGGUGAAGAAGUAUUUCGGUAUGUAAAGCCCUGUCAGCAGGGAAGAAGAAUGACGGUACCUGACCAAGAAGCACCGGCUAAAUACGUGCCAGCAGCCGCGGUAAUACGUAUGGUGCAAGCGUUAUCCGGAUUUACUGGGUGUAAAGGGAGCGCAGGCGGCGCGUUAAGUCUGAUGUGAAAACCCGCGGCUCAACUGCGGGACUGCAUUGGAAACUGGCGGGCUUGAGUGCCGGAGAGGCAAGCGGAAUUCCUAGUGUAGCGGUGAAAUGCGUAGAUAUUAGGAGGAACACCAGUGGCGAGGGCGGCUUGCUGGACGGUAACUGACGCUGAGGCUCGAAAGCGUGGGGAGCAAACAGGAUUAGAUACCCUGGUACUCCACGCCGUACACGAUGAAUACUAGGUGUCGGGCGCC